AUGAUUGGUUUACAUACUAUGGUGCUUUUGAUGUGAUGGAUUUAAGGGUUAUUGUUGGUGGUUUAUGCCUUUUCAUGUUACUUCUCUCUAGCUUUACCUGUCUAUGAUUGGUGUAGAUACUAUGGUGCUUUUUCUAGUGGUUUGUGGUGGGUUACUGGCUGUGGGUAUGUUUUUGGUAAGUUGUGUGGGGCGGUUGUGACUAUGCUAAUGUGUUAAUGGUGUGGAAGUGUGGCAAUGGUUGAUCUGAUAUUGAGGUUAAUGGGGCUGUUGGUGCUUGUCACUAUCGGUCUAAGGUCUUUUUGGUCCUGGUCAGAUGCAGAAGCCUUUUGAAGAAGCAACAUUUGCUCUAAAAGUUGAUGAGAUAAGUGACAUUGUCGAGACUGACAGUGGAGUCCACAUCAUCAAGAGAACAGAGUGAGUUGCUCAAGUGACAAACAAUUACCUACCAAUGUUGUUCAGCCUGCCUGCUGUUCUAAUUGUGUGUUGUUUAAUUGACUUGAAAUUUUCAAGAAGAUAAGUGCCUUUGUUCUGAUGAACUCUAGAUGGGAUUUAAAGCUGGACCAUGUUGAUCCAGUGAUAAUGGUUCUUUACUUUCACAUGCUUGGUUUCUUUUUUGUUUGAAAAAACUACUGUAGCUUGUUCCUUUUUUUACUCCUAUUUUAUCAUUAAAGAUUUGGUCCUUUUCUUUAUUGAUAGUAA
This is a long non-coding RNA of Chenopodium quinoa (quinoa), 699 nucleotides long. RefSeq lists it as uncharacterized. The transcript has 2 exons. NCBI's taxonomy places the organism in Eukaryota, Viridiplantae, Streptophyta, Magnoliopsida, Caryophyllales, Amaranthaceae. The record is from RefSeq and is a predicted model, not a curated record.